UGGGGAAUUUUGGACAAUGGGCGAAAGCCUGAUCCAGCAAUGCCGCGUGUGUGAAGAAGGCCUUCGGGUUGUAAAGCACUUUUGUCCGGAAAGAAAUCCUUGGCUCUAAUACAGUCGGGGGAUGACGGUACCGGAAGAAUAAGCACCGGCUAACUACGUGCCAGCAGCCGCGGUAAUACGUAGGGUGCAAGCGUUAAUCGGAAUUACUGGGCGUAAAGCGUGCGCAGGCGGUUUGCUAAGACCGAUGUGAAAUCCCGGGCUCAACCUGGGAACUGCAUUGGUGACUGGCAGGCUAGAGUAUGGCAGAGGGGGUAGAAUUCCACGUGUAGCAGUGAAAUGCGUAGAGAUGUGGAGGAAUACCGAUGGCGAAGGCAGCCCCCUGGGCCAAUACUGACGCUCAUGCACGAAAGCGUGGGGAGCAAACAGGAUUAGAUACCCUGGUAGUCCACGCCCUAAACGAUGUCAACUAGUUGUUGGGGAUUCAUUUCCUUAGUAACGUAGCUAACGCGUGAAGUUGACCGCCUGGGGAGUACGGUCGCAAGAUUAAAACUCAAAGGAAUUGACGGGGUCAUAGCUG
Molecule: ribosomal RNA, 577 nt
Filed under: uncultured bacterium
Lineage: Bacteria
Description: partial 16S ribosomal RNA
Rfam family: Bacterial small subunit ribosomal RNA
Source: RNAcentral